GGGAAAGUUGAGGCAAUCCUCUCACCAAUCAAACAAAGAAACAAUUAUAGACCCGCAUCACGAUUUCCUUAACGAUGGAGAAACCAUGGGUUCCAACAAGAAGAACAUGGAGGAGGGAAAGUUGAGGCAAUCCUCUCACCAAUCAAACAAAGAAACAAUUAUAGACCCGCAUCACGAUUUCCUUAACGAUGGAGAAAGCAUGGGUUCCAACAAGAAGAACAUGGAGGAGAUUUAGAAAGCCAAUGAUGAUAGCAAAACCUAGCAUUGCCACGUGACAGCUUGAAAUAGACCAAUAAGAAUAAAUCGGAAAUACUAGUAGCAGGUGACUGUCCUAGAUUUCAUCACGAUAUCAAGAGUCCAUGUGACUUGUAUAUAUUCCUCUGGCUUGAAGUAGAAAUAUUAUGUGUUUUUGAGUUAGGCCUAUGUUUUCUGAAUCUUUUGAAUUUUCACUUCCGAUUUCCACAUUUAGAAAAUCUUGUUUCACUUUAUUUCCCUUCUUUAAAUGUUUAGUACACCGUUUAGGCCAUUACAUACUGUUUUUUUAUUGGGGGCGCAACGUUCAUUUAUUUAGACCCCGUGCCACAGCUUGUAUCUAGACCUUAAGAUAUUACACAAUAAUUAAACACAAAACCUAAAAGCAUUUGUGUUUUUUUAUCGGGGCACUGACUGAUUGACGUUGUGAUUCACUUAACUCAGGUUAGGUGAAUAAAUAUCCGACAGGAUAAAUUAUUCAUUGUAUGCACGACGCUCCUUUAACCAACUGGAACUACUGUAAUACCGGAUAAUAUACAGUGUGCCAUUGAAAAGGCAACUAGAUAAUUGCCGCAUCAAUGUUAUUUUUGUUGUUAUUAUUAUUACAAUUAUUAUUACUAUAAUUCAUCAACAUCCUAGUUUAUUACUAUUCUCAUUAUUGCUGUUAUUAUCAUCAUCAUUUCGAUUGUGUAAAGCAUUUUUAAAGUAUCAAUUUCGAAAAUUAUUGCUAUUGAGAAUAUUCUACAUUAUGAACCAAUAGCGCAAAAUACCGACACAAGUUUAAAGCCAAUACGGGUGAAAUUAAUCGGUCAGAAGUUCAC
Lytechinus pictus (painted urchin) is the source of this 1073-nucleotide long non-coding RNA. RefSeq lists it as uncharacterized. The record is from RefSeq and is a predicted model, not a curated record. The transcript has 3 exons. NCBI's taxonomy places the organism in Eukaryota, Metazoa, Echinodermata, Echinoidea, Temnopleuroida, Toxopneustidae.